Long non-coding RNA from Mus musculus (house mouse), 4273 nucleotides. RefSeq annotates it as predicted gene, 52299. NCBI's taxonomy places the organism in Eukaryota, Metazoa, Chordata, Mammalia, Rodentia, Muridae. The transcript is spliced from 2 exons. The record is from RefSeq and is a predicted model, not a curated record.
UGGCUGCAGCCCAUCGGCCCAGUUGUCAUCACGAGAAAGAAUUUACCUGCAUGGGGACAUAAACUUGCUUGUCUUGAUGGCUGGCGUUUGCAUAACUGGAAACAGCACUGGUAUAUCAUAGGCAUUUACAAAACCUAUUUAAUAGGUUGAUGCAUGAGUGAAGAGUGUAUUUGGAAGGAAAUGAUUCUGGUUUUAAAAGGUGACAUUACAACUAUCAGUUUUGUAUUCUCAGUAUCCAAAAUGCCCAGAUAUCAGUAAAGGCAACAGUUAUAUAUUUACUAAUAAUUAAAGACUUAGCAAUUUUGUUCUGUCUGUCUGCCUGCCAACCUACCUACCUACCUAUCACUCAGUCAGUCAGCUGGAAAGUUUGAUUAAUGCUUAAGAGCACUUGUUCUUGCCAAAGAAUCCACGUUUGCUUCUACACACACACACACACACACACACACACACACACACACACACGGAGGCUCACAAUCAUCCUGUAACUCUAGCCCCGGGGGUGCCCUCUUCUCACUUCCUGGGCCACUAGAUAGACAUGUAAAAAUAAGAAAGAAGUUAAAAAAUAGUACCAUUAACUUGUUUAUUUGAUCUCAUUUUUAUACUUAGUACUUUUGUUUUAGAAUCUGACCCAGGGCACCAUACUACAUUAAUAACCAUGUCUUUAAUCUCUUCUUACAUGGACAUUAAUCUUUUUUGUUUUCCAUGGAUGACACAUUUUUGGAGAGGUGUGUGAGAGUGUGUGAGUGUGUGUGUGUGUGUGUGUGUGUGUGAGACAGUAUCGCAUCAUAUAGACAAGGGUGUACUGGGAUUUUAUAGGUACUUCAGGCUAACCUUGAACUAUGUUUCUACUGUCCCAGCUACCUCACUGCUGGGGUUACAGGCAUGUACUGUCUUGCCUGAAUAAAAUUUUAAGAGUUAUUUUUAAGUAUUUUACAAAAUGUUGGAGGAGGUUCUUCUGGCGCCCCCCCCCCACCCCCCCCAUGAUUAGGUUGGGAGUUGUAGAUUUUGGGAAUAAAUACUAAAGAGGCAAAUUGAGUUGAUUAUAUUUUGGUGAUGCAUGGUACAAACCUUGGUGAAGUUAAUCUUGCCUUUGACUGGUUGGUUUAGGUAAUGAGUGUUUUUUCCAUGUUUCUCUGCUGUAUAAGGUGACUAUCUUUCGAUUUCCAUAUUUGGUCUUUGAAUUAGUUCUGGAAUAUUCAAACACACUAUUAUGACUUUUUGACUUUUUGGUUUAACCUGUAUUCAUGUAAGUUCCUUUUAUUUUAUGUCUUUUUUUUUUUUUGAUAGGGUUUCUCUCUGUGUAGCCUUAGUUGUCCUGGAACUUGCUCUGUAGACUAGGCUGACCUUGAUCUUGUAGAGAUCCUUCUGCCCUUAUCUCCUAAGCACUGGGCUUAAAGACUUGUGCCACCACCUCCGAGCUGUAAGCUCCUUUUUGGUGAUUGUAAUUCUUUAGGUUUAAGAAAUGUAAAAUGUGCCCAUUUAAAAGAUUUUAAAAGUGGAGAUUCUGCCUCUCCUGGACAGGGCCUGCAUCCCUUCCUCACUGCUUGCAACAAAACAGCUUGGUGUGUUUCUGAUUUCCUUUAGAUCCUACUCUAUCUAGUUUGUUUGUUUGUUUUUGUUUUUUUAAACAAUCUCUCUCCCUUCUGAACUGUUGCUUCAUCUAUUGCAUAAUUGAAGAGUAAAUUUGUUAGAAUUUGGUGGAACUGAAUAGUUGAGACUGUUCAAUAGAUUUUUUUGUCAAUGUAGAUGCUUUUCUCUUUUUGGCUUUUUGCUUGUGGCGUUCAAGAUUGCCAGAUAGAAAAUUAGGCUAAAUAUCGCCAGAAAUCACAUCUGUCAAAUGAUUGUUUUUAACAUCUGAAAAUAUAGGAUAACACUUUGAGAGAUACUUGAUGCUGUGAACUGAGAGAGAGAGAGAGAGAGAGAGAGAGAGAGAGAGUUGCUGCUGUGGGAAAGAAAAGAACUGAGCUCUUAGCUGCUGCAUCAUGAGGUGUCUGCCAGUGUGGUUAAGGAAAAGAGCAGUCACUCAGGAAACGGGAUUCUUAACUACUUACUGCACUGCCCGGCGCGGGGAUGAAAAGGGGGGGAUGGGUGAGAUGACCCGCAUCCUGCCAGAGCUCGGUGAGACUGACUGGAUGGGGCGGCGGAGGCGGGUGGUGGUGGAGGGUGGCCACGGGAGAUUGCUGUGGGACCCACGGAACCAGAAUGGGCAGUGCUAGGCUUAGGCCACCGGACCACGCUCAGUGGGGGUGGGGAAGGCGCAGUCUUGGCUCUGACUCAGGCGCCACAGACUUCUGGGUACCACGGAAGAGUCAGCUCAGGGGUCUCUGGGCUGCAUGGAGGCCAGGAACUACAGGUUCUCAAUCUUGGGCAUCCCAGAGCCAUUGGAUGUUGCGGCUGGACGUCUUGAAAGAGCUGAGAAUGAAGUGGGGAGCCCCCAGGGGCAGCUUGGUCAGCCCCAGGGUUGAAGGGAGAAGGGGUAGGGGGAGAAGGCGCUGCUGGGUGGUUCCUGCGUGGGCAUGAGUCCUUGGUCUGGUCUGGCGGCUGGAAAAGCUGGUAGGCCUUUCUGCGGGAGAUUAGACUCAGCUCUUUUGGGGAAGGCCUGGUCCAUUGCUAUAGCAUGGGGGUCUUGAUGAGCAGAGACAGUCCAUGGUUUUAGAGCUUUAUUGUAGAAAAGCAGAGGGGGUGGGGCAUGGCCAUGUUGCUUGCUCUGCCUCUUGAUCUGCUGUUGACUUUAUUUAGCUCUUGUGUACAGAAAACUCUUGGGGUAAAGGUGUGACUAGGGCUGAGCCACACCACAGCAAUAAACAGGUUUUUCUAGUUUACAAUCUUGGGGUUCACAGUGUGAUCAAAUAUCCUGCAAAAGGAAGGCCUUAUUUGAACUUAUGAUUCCAGGGGGAAAUAAGAGUCUGUCACCAUCAUGGUGGUGAAGUAUGGCACUGGUCCAAAGAUUAUCUCUGUACAACACUGAAGAAGACAAGGGCCGGACCAGAAAACUACAAAUUUUAGCCUUGUGGUGGUGGCAUAGGCCUUUGAGUCCAGGAGGCAGAGGCAAGUGGCUCUCUUGAGUUUGAGGCCAGCCUCAGCUACAAAGUUCCAGGAUAGCCAGGGAGACUUAGAGAAACCUGUCCUAAUCUGGCGAGUAAUGAAGGGCAAUUAGGGAUAUUCUGCAAAUGAUGGGGUUAGAGCGAUUGGGGACAAGUUUGGUUGUCAGACAGAUGUUAGUGAUAAGGGGGUAACAGAACAGUUGUGACCCAACUGUGGAGUCUGUGGUACAAGAGUCCUGUCUUCCUCAGGCAGAGCUACAUGUGCAUAGAUGGCAUGUGUUUCUGCAGUCAUUGGACCAAUGCCAAUUGCUAGAGUUAAUCUUCUACUGGACUUACUAUAUAAGAUGUUGCCAGUACAUUCCCUGUCACAGAUAUAUAAUGUAGCAAGUAACUAUGAAAUUUUUUUUUUUUUUUUGUCUCUCUGGGUGUCCUGAAACUCACUUUCUAGACCCUCUGUCCACAGACUCACAGAGAUUGGACAGUCUCUGCCUCCCAAGUAUGGGAUUAAAUGCAUGCGCCCUGCACACCUCUGUGAUUUUUACUACUUAUAAAAAAAGGUCAAAGUUUCAAAUAAUUUUGAAAAUCAGUAAAUAUUUCUUGGUAUCUUUUCAUGAUAAAACUCUAUGAAAUCAAUAAUUUUCAAAGCUUUACAUCAGAAUGAUUAUUUCAGUUUUUUUUCCCCCAUGAAAAGAUUGUCUUUAAGUGGUAAUGCUCGUAUGUCAGUAUGUCAUUUUUCACUUGAAGCCAGUUCUCCAUGCUCUUUAUGUAUGUCCUGUUGGCUGUCAUGUUGGGAUGUUGGGAUUUCUUGGUUUCUUCUUCUUCUUUUUUUUUUUUUUCUGUUUUUUUGUUUUUGUUUUUGUUUUUGUUUUUGUUUUUAGUUUCUUGAGAAAGGGUUUCCUGGCUGUCCUGGAGCUCACUCUGUAGACCAGGCUGACCUCAAACUGAGAAAUCCACCUGCCUCUGCCUCCCAAGUGCUGGGAUUAAAGGCGUGUGCCACCACUGCCCGACUUUUUUCUUGGUUUCUAAUACAGCUUGCAGGAAGCAUGUUAAUACCAGUUUUGCUUUCAGACUGAGCUCUUAUCCCCCUCUUUGUGGGGUCAGGAACAUAACUGGGCACCUGUUGUGUAGGCUUUAGACUUUUAUCCUUGACCAUGAAGUGAGAGAUACGUCUGCAAAUCAAUUUUUCUCUUCUUGCAGGUUGAGAAGAUAGUAAAUGCUGAAUAAAAAAA